Molecule: ribosomal RNA, 1368 nt
Filed under: Bacillus pumilus
Lineage: Bacteria; Bacillati; Bacillota; Bacilli; Caryophanales; Bacillaceae
Description: bacterial SSU rRNA
Rfam family: Bacterial small subunit ribosomal RNA
Source: RNAcentral
GGCUCAGGACGAACGCUGGCGGCGUGCCUCAAUACAUGCAAGUCGAGCGGACAGAAGGGAGCUUGCUCCCGGAUGUUAGCGGCGGACGGGUGAGUAACACGUGGGUAACCUGCCUGUAAGACUGGGAUAACUCCGGGAAACCGGAGCUAAUACCGGAUAGUUCCUUGAACCGCAUGGUUCAAGGAUGAAAGACGGUUUCGGCUGUCACUUACAGAUGGACCCGCGGCGCAUUAGCUAGUUGGUGGGGUAAUGGCUCACCAAGGCGACGAUGCGUAGCCGACCUGAGAGGGUGAUCGGCCACACUGGGACUGAGACACGGCCCAGACUCCUACGGGAGGCAGCAGUAGGGAAUCUUCCGCAAUGGACGAAAGUCUGACGGAGCAACGCCGCGUGAGUGAUGAAGGUUUUCGGAUCGUAAAGCUCUGUUGUUAGGGAAGAACAAGUGCGAGAGUAACUGCUCGCACCUUGACGGUACCUAACCAGAAAGCCACGGCUAACUACGUGCCAGCAGCCGCGGUAAUACGUAGGUGGCAAGCGUUGUCCGGAAUUAUUGGGCGUAAAGGGCUCGCAGGCGGUUUCUUAAGUCUGAUGUGAAAGCCCCCGGCUCAACCGGGGAGGGUCAUUGGAAACUGGGAAACUUGAGUGCAGAAGAGGAGAGUGGAAUUCCACGUGUAGCGGUGAAAUGCGUAGAGAUGUGGAGGAACACCAGUGGCGAAGGCGACUCUCUGGUCUGUAACUGACGCUGAGGAGCGAAAGCGUGGGGAGCGAACAGGAUUAGAUACCCUGGUAGUCCACGCCGUAAACGAUGAGUGCUAAGUGUUAGGGGGUUUCCGCCCCUUAGUGCUGCAGCUAACGCAUUAAGCACUCCGCCUGGGGAGUACGGUCGCAAGACUGAAACUCAAAGGAAUUGACGGGGGCCCGCACAAGCGGUGGAGCAUGUGGUUUAAUUCGAAGCAACGCGAAGAACCUUACCAGGUCUUGACAUCCUCUGACAACCCUAGAGAUAGGGCUUUCCCUUCGGGGACAGAGUGACAGGUGGUGCAUGGUUGUCGUCAGCUCGUGUCGUGAGAUGUUGGGUUAAGUCCCGCAACGAGCGCAACCCUUGAUCUUAGUUGCCAGCAUUUAGUUGGGCACUCUAAGGUGACUGCCGGUGACAAACCGGAGGAAGGUGGGGAUGACGUCAAAUCAUCAUGCCCCUUAUGACCUGGGCUACACACGUGCUACAAUGGACAGAACAAAGGGCUGCGAGACCGCAAGGUUUAGCCAAUCCCAUAAAUCUGUUCUCAGUUCGGAUCGCAGUCUGCAACUCGACUGCGUGAAGCUGGAAUCGCUAGUAAUCGCGGAUCAGCAUGCCGCGGUGAAUACGUU